GAAAGGGACGCUAAUACCGCAUGACAUCCUGCGUUUGGAAACGCGGAGAUCAAAAAGAAAAGAUCGCAAGACCUGGCGCUUGAAGAGGGGCCCGCGCCUGAUUAGCUAGUUGGUGGGGUAACGGCCUACCAAGGCAACGAUCAGUAUCCGGCCUGAGAGGGCGGACGGAC
Molecule: ribosomal RNA, 170 nt
Filed under: uncultured Acidobacteriota bacterium
Lineage: Bacteria; Pseudomonadati; Acidobacteriota
Description: uncultured Acidobacteria bacterium partial 16S ribosomal RNA
Rfam family: Bacterial small subunit ribosomal RNA
Source: RNAcentral